UUGCAUUUUUCCAGGAAUUGCACUGGAUCGUUGAUCAUUUUGCAGAGUUACAAAAAAAAAUGAAAUUCAAUUUUGCCAGUUCUAUUAAUAUUACGGAUCGAAGUAUGGCUCCUUCGAAAUAUAUUACACGAUGUCCCAGGAGAGAAAGGAUGCUUUUGUUUCGAGAGCUCCGUGAGUCGAUAUCAAGGGACAACCUCAAUCAUUGUUAUACUCGUAUAUGCCAUCGGUAACAAGUUUCAUCUGCUAAAACUUGUGCGGAAAAUAUAUAGAAAGAAUCGAUCGAUUGUCGAUAUUUCGAAAUAAGCUGCUGUAAUAUCCUUAUUUCGAAACCCAAGAUAAACGCGAAAAUAUAAUGAAAAAAAGAAGACGGCAAAGAAUACGAAGGCAGGCAGGCCGAAGGAGCAAAGGUGGGAUUAGCAUAACGCGCGAUCGGACGUGGUUCAGCUCGACUGUGGUUAGUUAAUGGUCGCCGAGUAAUCAUUAUUCUCGACUGGCAAUACGCCGUGUGUAAGUCUCUACCUUGUGCGUGCAACCUAGCGGCAUGAUCCGCGUAUAUAAAUUAUUAUUGUCCGGCCAACGAGGUGUAUCGAUGGGCGGUCGCACCGCUGUCGCUUGUCGACGCCCAUGCUCGCAGUUCGCGAGAUCGCAGGCCGCGCUUAAACGCCUUUUCCGCCUUUUGCGCGUUUCCGCCGCAUCGUUUAAGUAAAUUCGA
This is a long non-coding RNA of Apis florea (little honeybee), 712 nucleotides long. The record is from RefSeq and is a predicted model, not a curated record. Lineage: Eukaryota; Metazoa; Arthropoda; Insecta; Hymenoptera; Apidae.